RNAcentral lists this ribosomal RNA (444 nucleotides) under uncultured bacterium. RNAcentral's name for it is "bacterial SSU rRNA". It matches the Rfam family "Bacterial small subunit ribosomal RNA", at positions 335 to 769 of the family's 1533-position model. The record is from RNAcentral.
ACUCCUACGGGAGGCAGCAGUGGGGAAUAUUGCACAAUGGGGGAAACCCUGAUGCAGCCAUGCCGCGUGUGUGAAGAAGGCCUUCGGGUUGUAAAGCACUUUCAGUAGGGAGGAAGGUAGUGUAGUUAAACACCUGCAUUAUUUGACGUUACCUACAGAAGAGCACCGGCUAACUUCGUGCCAGCAGCCGCGGUAAUACGAAGGGUGCAAGCGUUAAUCGGAAUUACUGGGCGUAAAGCGCGCGUAGGUGGCUUGAUAAGUUGGAUGUGAAAUCCCCGGGCUCAACCUGGGAACUGCAUCCAAAACUGUCUGGCUAGAGUGCGGUAGAGGGGUAGUGGAAUUUUCCAGUGUAGCGGUGAAAAUGCGUAGAUAUUGGAAGGAACACCAGUGCGAAGGCGACUACCUGGACUGACACUGACACUGAGGUGCGAAAGCGUGGGGAGC